Molecule: ribosomal RNA, 230 nt
Filed under: Thalassiosira rotula
Lineage: Eukaryota; Bacillariophyta; Thalassiosirophyceae; Thalassiosirales; Thalassiosiraceae
Description: partial Bacterial small subunit ribosomal RNA
Rfam family: Bacterial small subunit ribosomal RNA
Source: RNAcentral
UAAUCCCUAAAAGCCGUCUCAGUUCGGAUUGCACUCUGCAACUCGAGUGCAUGAAGUUGGAAUCGCUAGUAAUCGCGGAUCAGCAUGCCGCGGUGAAUACGUUCCCGGGCCUUGUACACACCGCCCGUCAAGCCAUGGAAGCUGGGGGUGCCUGAAGUCGGUAACCGCAAGGAGCUGCCUAGGGUAAAACUAGUGACUGGGGCUAAGUCGUAACAAGGUAGCCGUACCGG